GAUUGCAUAAAUAAUCAGUGGGUUAGUAGUCAAUAUCUACACCAAACAAGAAAUCAAAGAUAUAAGUGACAGUUAGUUGGAGAACUAGAAGUAAACAUGGUGCAAACAGUUCUUCGCGAGGGUAUACCCAGCAAUUGAGGGAGAGGAAGAAGAAGAACAGAAAAAACCUUAGAGGAAACAUUUUUUUUUUUUUUUUUCGGUGAAAGGAAAUGAGAAAAAGAUUAGAGAGUCGUGCUGAUAACGUGUUAUAAAUAGGCAAAAUUUAUAGAGAGAUAACCUUUACUCGG
Molecule: long non-coding RNA, 287 nt
Filed under: Malus domestica (apple)
Lineage: Eukaryota; Viridiplantae; Streptophyta; Magnoliopsida; Rosales; Rosaceae
Description: long non-coding RNA (MDOM_LNC001699)
Source: RNAcentral